Molecule: RNA transcript, 1132 nt
Organism: Brassica napus (rape)
Lineage: Eukaryota; Viridiplantae; Streptophyta; Magnoliopsida; Brassicales; Brassicaceae
Exons: 4
Source: RefSeq, a predicted model, not a curated record
UGGAUACUGCUUUCUGGCCGAUAUACAAACCCGUCUCGCCUACAUCUUUUCCUGAUUCAUAAUUCUAGGGUUCUUCAGCUCCUUGGAGAUCUGAUUCGCUCUACUAACAAUGGUGGCUCUGGAAUGGCGUGUAACUCCACGCUUCUUCAGUAAUCUACACGUCGGUGUCUGUUCAUGUCGUUUCGGUCUGGCUUCUUCACCUCCAAACGGUUACAAGUCUCGCUGAUUCAAUGUCAUUAACCACGAUCUUGCAUUCAAUGAAUCUUAGCCUUAUUCGAGGCGGUGGUGGGAAUUCUCACAUAUAAAAAGGUGCGGCUGCUCGGAUUUUGGGAAGCCAGAAACUUUAAAGGUGGUGGCGAAUUGAUGGGUGUUAUAUGAUCCUCCUUAACGCUAAGCGAUGAUGAGCAGUUCCUUGCGACAAUUCAUGAGUGUUCCGAUCCUGAGAAUAGUGCUUCUUAUGAUAUCACUGAGAACAUGUUUGAGAAGGCUUCUUAUGUAAAGCAACUUGAUCAGUUUACCUUAAUCGAAAUUCAAGAACUGAUGGCCGGAGUUAGAUCCUUGGAAGCAAUGGAAACAAUAUAUGAGCUUUGGAAAACCAAGAGGCAUAGCAAGGUAAUGCCACUAAUCGGGCAUCUUCAGGUAUGACCUCUAAUGCCUUUCCAUCGUUUUUAUGAUAUUUGAUUUGUCUUUUUCGCAUGUAUGUCUUAAGGUGUCAAAAGUCAAAACCUGCAUUCCUAGGCUCUAUAUAGAUCGUUAUGUACUUGGGUUGACCAUCAAAUAUUCACUCUCUCAGCAUCCUGAGCGAAGGUGUCUGUCACUACCGGACUUUUUUGCCAUUGAGGGCAAUGAUGAUGAUGGAGAUGCCUGGGAACAUAUUAGGGCCUACUAAUGUUGACGUUGGUGGUAAUGUUCGUGAGGAAUCACCAACUAUAUGAACAGCAGCACCGUCAUCUUCCAAGGUUGUCAAGAAGGCCUGAAUCGCUUAGGUGAAGAUCGUUAAGUAUUUGGAUGCAGUAUUUGCUAUUUGAAUAAUGCUAAGGCAUCAAUUUUUUUUUUUUCUCUUGCUAUGUUUUCUCAGACAAUCUUCAAAAGUUCUGCUUAAGUUUGAACUAAUAUAAAGAUAUUUAUCUCA